UACGUAGGGUGCGAGCGUUGUCCGGAAUUAUUGGGCGUAAAGAGCUUGUAGGCGGUUUGUCGCGUCUGCUGUGAAAAUCCGGGGCUCAACCCCGGACUUGCAGUGGGUACGGGCAGGCUAGAGUGUGGUAGGGGAGACUGGAAUUCCUGGUGUAGCGGUGGAAUGCGCAGAUAUCAGGAGGAACACCGAUGGCGAAGGCAGGUCUCUGGGCCACUACUGACGCUGAGAAGCGAAAGCGUGGGGAGCAAACAGG
This 253-nucleotide ribosomal RNA is filed under the name uncultured bacterium. Its description in RNAcentral is "partial 16S ribosomal RNA". It matches the Rfam family "Bacterial small subunit ribosomal RNA", at positions 524 to 776 of the family's 1533-position model. The record is from RNAcentral.